ACGAACGCUGGCGGCGUGCUUAACACAUGCCAGUCGAACGGUGAAGCGAGUGCUUGCACUCGUGGAUCAGUGGCGAACGGGUGAGUAACACGUGAGUAACCUGCCCAUCACUCUGGGAUAAGCACUGGAAACGGUGUCUAAUACUGGAUACGACCAACCCUUGCAUGGGGUGUUGGUGGAAAGAUUUAUCGGUGAUGGAUGGACUCGCGGCCUAUCAGCUUGUUGGCGGGGUAAUGGCCCACCAAGGCGACGACGGGUAGCCGGCCUGAGAGGGUGACCGGCCACACUGGGACUGAGACACGGCCCAGACUCCUACGGGAGGCAGCAGUGGGGAAUAUUGCACAAUGGGCGAAAGCCUGAUGCAGCGACGCCGCGUGAGGGAUGACGGCCUUCGGGUGGUAAACCUCUUUCAGCAGGGAAGAAGCGAAAGUGACGGUACCUGCAGAAGAAGCACCGGCUAACUACGU
Molecule: ribosomal RNA, 467 nt
Filed under: uncultured bacterium
Lineage: Bacteria
Description: partial 16S ribosomal RNA
Rfam family: Bacterial small subunit ribosomal RNA
Source: RNAcentral